GUUUGAUUAGAGAGAGCGAGAGAGCGGAUGGCAGCGCCAGAACAACUGACCGCGCGCCAUUCCCGGACGCGGGGAGGUUUUACAAGGUGCGAAUAGCACAUAAACCCGACAGAUGAUUGAAAUCUGAAGCAAGACGGAGGCAUCCGGCGGUCGCACGCGCGCUGGAUCCGGAAACAGCUGGCAUGAUGAACUGAGGUCGUUACGCGCAACACAUGAGCGUGCCAGGGGAGACACGUCUGGGUCCGAACUCGGUGGGAACAAAUUCUGGGACGAGCAGCUUGCUCUCGGUGUAUCAAUGAGGAAUGUGACCGCGGCUGCCUCGGUCCAGACGGGGUGGAUGAAGCCCUUGGCGGUGUCAUGCGUUUUGCCCCGCAGCCAAGCGCGCAACUGCGGCUCAUAGCGUGUCUCCUCCUCACCGCGGGGGUCACCGCGUCCCCGGCCGUCUCCGCCGGCUGCCCGGACAGGUGUGUGUGCGAUGACCAGCUGGUGGUCCAGUGCGCCGGGCAGCACCUGACCAGCUUCCCGGUCAACCUGCCGCUGGCUACGCGGCAGCUCAUCAUCUCUAACAACCGCAUCGUGGAACUUCCGCCGCUCGCCCUCAACUACCUCUCGGACUUGGUCUACCUGGACUGCAGCAACAACUCCCUUACUGAAGUCUCAGAGUCCACCUUUGGGAAUCUGCGCAAACUGGCCUACCUGGACCUGUCCUUCAACACCUUACACCGGAUCGAGGACAGGACGUUCGGCCCCUUGUCUAGCCUUGUGAUGCUGAGGAUGACUGACAACCCGGGACUCUCCGUGAUCCACCCGGACGCGUUCGCGGAGAACGAGGCCCUUCAGGUGCUGGACGUGAGCCGGAACAACCUGACGUUCCUCAACAUCACGUCCCUGAUCGCCCAGCCGGGCCUGCGCUCCGUGGGGCUAAGCGGGAACCCCUGGAGCUGCCAGUGCGACACCGAGGACCUGUCUCUGUGGGUCCACCUGGAGAGCUUCAAGUUCCAAGAUGAGGGCCAGACGGUCUGUGACUCACCCGCUGACAUGCAAGGCCGUCGUCUGGGUGAGGUGGGCAUCCAGCUACGGACGUUGUGUCACCAGACUCUGGGCUCCUGGGACUACCUUUUCUUUGUGUUCAUUGGCUUUGUCAUCUUCGCUGCCGGUACUGUGUCAGCCUGGCUGAUGGGCGUGGUCAUGGUUCUCUACGAGCGCUACAUCAAGAAGAAAGAUGACCAGAUAAAUUUGGAAAACGAGGAUGAAGGUGAUGAGACAGGUCACAUGUCAAGAGGCAGAAAAGACCGUAAUAACAGGAGUUUACAAACUUCCUUCACUGUUUAAAAUGACCUGAUCCCACAGUGCCUCCUGUCAACGUCCACAUGAAGUCUGAUGAUGAGGUGAACUCUGUUCAACAGGCUUGGCUGUCUCCGAGAAAAUGGGAUUCAUCUAAAAAUAAGGAAUGUGUUCUUUUGCAUUUGCAGCGGGAUUCUGGGUGAUGUGAAACAUGAUAGACGUCAUGAUGGAGACCCCAUACUGGAUCAAACAUAGCGUUGUGUUUGAGUGAGAACUGGUUCUGUUAGCCAGUAAUGCAGCCCAUGUUAGCCAUAUGAACCCAUCCACUGGGCUCAACUAAUGGUCACAGUUUGGUUUUAGGAGUAGAACAAACAAACAAAACAAUUGCAGACGUAUCUUCUCUAAACUCACCUGGUUUUUGAAAAUCUCCCAAGUUACCUUCCUCUGUGUUUGAUCACCUGUCUAUUUAAAUAAGCCACACCCCUUCAUUGACCCCUCACUUUGCUCAGAUUUGACGGAUUUUCUUCGAGGUACAAGAAACAGAAAUUAAAUAGUCAAAUGCAACCCCGCAGUUAAAGAGCAAGUCACCCCCCAAUCCACUUUUUUGCUGAUAAACUGUAUAACUGAGCUGUAGACAUAUGUAGUCAUUAUUUUGGCUUUUUAGUGCAUCUUAUGACAUUCUGCCUAAAACUGAGUGAUACAGCUGAGAGCCUAGAGCGGGGUGGGGGUGUUACGGUCAGUCCCUGCCUCAGCGCCGCCCUCCCCAGGCGACCUCUCUUCUUAGUGCGUUUUUCAAACAGGAAGUGUGGGUGGAGUAAAACUUGUCAGGGUGGUGACUUGUUCUUUAAAAACAAAAUAAGACAAGACCUCCCCCUCAAGAGGCUGUUUCCAGUACAAGUUUUAACCCCGCCCCCUACAUGUAGUCAUAUAAGACACAGAUGGCUAAAAACUCACCUCAGAUUCUAUUCAAGGCGAUCGAUUUAGCUGAUUUCCGUAGUGGUUGCCUGUAUCUUCAAAUGUUCCUUCUUCUUCAGCUGUAAUUGGAUGCCGAAAUAACAGUGUGAUUGUGUGCUGCAGAGUGGGCGGGGCUUUAAGCUGCACAUCCACAGACUCUGAUUACAAAUGUGAUUACAUUGCAGCGUCUACCUGGAACGUCACAGCGUGGAAGACGACAGAGAUGCUAGUUUUAAAUCUCUCCAACAGUCCAAAGGCUAAAUGAGAGCAUGGUGAAAAGUUUGGCAGAUGGGAACUGAUCGUGAGCAAGGCCAACCCUUGUGACUCAGAUGGAGAAGACAUAGUCCUUCAACCAGAUACGGACUCUGAGCUGUCUUCAGAUGAGGAGACUCCUCUACCAAAAAAAGAGAGCUCGGUUGGGGAGUUAGCUGACAGAGACCUCAAAAGAUGGCACUGUGUGGUGUGAAAAACAAGUGGGGACAUGUCUCCAUAUCACUCCAAUAGAACCUUACGCCACAGCUGGAGAGCAAACGGCUAAGGCCAAACGAUGUACCCGGAGUUGCCUUCAGAGCUUCCUCCGUUUUGUCACUCUGAACAUGUUUCGAACCAUUCAAGAAUGGACUACUCCGCAUGCACGUCACACGGAGCAGGUGGAUUGGUUCUUGGAUCUCCCUGAACUAAUGGCACUUAUUGCAGUCAUUAUCUUGCAGGGGGUGACCAAGGUUCCUUCACUACUUGACAGCUGGUCAGCAAACCUGGCAAACCCAAGGAUCAUUGAAACUAUGGCCCGAUACCGCUUCCAAGACAUCAUGCAACACUUACGCUUUGAUGACAUGUUCACAUGCAGUGAGCGAGCGGAGACCAAUAAGUUUGCUGCAAUCUCCGAUGUGUGAGGAUCGUUUGUCACCAACUGCAUCGCAUCCUACAACCCUGGUCAACACAUCACUAUUGAUGAACAGCUUUUCCCAUCAAAGACUCGCUGCUGUUUCCUACAAUACAUUGCAACAAAACCGGACAAGUUUGGCAACAUGUUUUGGGUGGCUUGCGACUUAAAAUCAAAGUACAUCUGUGUUGUGAUUCUUAAUCAACGAAUAAUUUGUAAGCUUCACUUACUUUUUGGAUUCUUCAACAAAAUUCGUAAAUAUGGAAAUAUUUACCAAUUUUAUUACGUAAUUAGGAUAUCUGGAGAUAUCCUCGGGGCACCACCCCUUUAACAGGGGAACAAUGAAUCCACACCUCUUAUCAAUCUUGUCUAAACUUUCCGUGAAAUCGUAACGAGCUGCAGUUAAUUUAUAUCAACACAAACAAAUCAUCUGAGACAAAAUCUUAAUUGGCAAUGACCUUUAUUAACGAAUAUAUUCACUUCAGCUCCUUCUAAAGUGUCUAGCCAAUCAACAUCAACCAACUUAUUUUAUCAAACAAAUAAGUAAUUAUGAAAUAAUAAUGAUAAUGUGAAAUGAUGAUCUGAUAGGCGGGGUAACAGGAUGGAGGUAGUUGAAAACCCAAAAUGGCUGACUCCUGGGAUCAAACCACUUGUGGAAUGUGUGUGUGUGUGUGUGUGUGUGUGUGUGUUUAACUUGUCUUCUCUCCCCACCACACUGAAAACCAGUGUGUGUGGGAGGUGUGUAAGUUUUCUCAAACUUUCAGUCAGUGGCUUAACUUUCAUGCACAGUAACUUAAACCAAACUUCAAAACCACUUCACAAAGAUCAAUAAACACAACAAAAGAUCACUCAAAGGCAAAUUAAAUAUCUAACGAUCUGUUUUAUGCUGUGGCCACAGCUCAAAACAACUUAGAUAUUACAAUGAAAGGAAAGAUCUUACUUUGAGAUGAUUUCGAUGACGUAUUUGGUACGGGAAAUAGAAAGACCGUUUUUCUAAUUUGAAGCGAUCAACGCGGCCGAACGCUCCUUCUGAACUAUAAGAGAACGGAAGAAAAAGUGAGAGAGAGAAAAAACUUUGAACGAACGAACAGCGAGGCGUCCCUCAGUGUUCAAUCGGCGUUCUCCGUUGCUUCCAGUAGUUCGGUGUUCCGUCCACUUCAGCAGCUAGACCUCGUGCACAUGCUGUCCGGAGCCGUAGCAACCGAGUGCGUCUUCACGCCAGUUGAACUGGAACAAAAGACAGAUAAGUUUCGUUCUGUCUCCCUUUUAUAGACUCGGCUGUCCGGCGGGCUGGACUCUGUGAGGGUGUGCUCAUGCGUGGAACUUGUUUUCCGGGGUGACAUCAUCACGUUGCUUCCGGUAGCAGGGAAUCAUGGGACAUGAAGUUGUUGCUGGCGCUGAUUUUUAAUAUGCCUUUUAUUCACGCUCCAGGGUGUUUUUGGCACAGUCUUUUGGAGAAAUUACUGCAUAGUAAUUUUCUCACGAGGGCAGACCCUCAACAUCUGCAAUGUCCUCCCAUAUCUUGGCAAGGACCCUCGUCGUCCCAGCGGGGAGAGGCUGUCUUGAGAGUGUAGUGAUGAGGCUAAUGGAACCAUUCAUGGACAAGGGCAGAACUGUAACCACGGACAAUCUCUCUACAGCUGCUCUGGAUGACAGGCAUCCUCUUCUGAAUGACUGAUUUGUUGGCGUUCAUCUGUGAUGUUCGGCAUGUUUUCAGCUAAACAGCAAACAGAGAGAGUGCUGAUGGAUGCUGAGACCCAGGAGGAGGACGGUCUGGCUGCUGGCACAGCUCUGCACACAGGCUCAGAGGCAACAAAAGGUCAUUUGAGACGAGAUGGUGUGUGUCCUUUCUGUGCAUCACAGAGCCUGGAGAAGUGUGUGUGUGUGCGCAUGUGUGUGUUUUCCUGCUCAGUUCUGCCUUCCUCUACUCUUAGAAUGUUCUUCCCUUUGGUCUACUUAGAAGGUUAGCUGGUGUUUAGUUAGCUCCCUGUUCCAAGACCCUCUGACACACACGCAGACACACACACUCACACACACAGCCAGGAGGUGUGUGCCACUGUGGGUAUUGUGGGAGACCAGAGCAGACCAGUUCAGAGCGGUGUUAAUCCAGUAAAGAAGUCUGCAUGAGCGAGAUAACUACUCUGAGCAGCUCCGGUACUUCAGACUGAGAGCGAAGCUGCAAAUGCGUCUGUGAUAUUUUUGCACCAUCAGUCGUGGAACAUGACAGCGGCUUUCAUUUUCUUUGACUCCCCCUCUCCUGCUAUCUUUAGCAGCUCUCUCUUCUCUUCCUGUAUUUAACUCCUUUUCUUCUCUAUUUCUGGACAUCAGUCCUCUUUUUUUGCACCUGUCAUUUUCCACUCAGAUCACGUUGUUUCCGGUUUCCAUCCCUCUGACAGGGUUCAGCACGCAGCGAUAUCUGAUUACGUAAUUCCUUCAUGAGAUAGAUAUGAGGAUCACUGGUGUCGGCCCUCUGAAACAGAUUUUCAGCAGUGCUUGACCACCAGGGAUAGUGAAAGCCAAUGAUUUUGUAUCCACCAGAGAAAUGGAAAGUGUUGGCCAGUUUGUUCUGAAUAAUUAUCUGGUGAGGCCAGUCUAUCUUUACCACACAGCACUCGUCCACAAACUGUUGCAGACUGAGCAGGAAGCUUCAGACAGCAGGACGAUGCAAGCUGACACUCAACACAAACAAAAGGAAUUCACAUGUUUCACGGAAGAAUUCUGAACCAGGAUCAUCAAAUGAUGGAGCUUUUGAUCCAGUCUCAGAUGAUCCGUUGCCACUCAGAGCGUGCCAUGUGUUACUAACCUAUCUAGAAUCUCUAAAGUUCAUUGAAAAUUAAAUAAAAUUAUUAAACCCAUGUUAAGAGUCCUGGUUCUUCCAUGCGUAUCAUUACUUAACCGUUAUGCACUGGUUCUGGCCCCGCGUGUGGUGUUUCAGGGGCGGCGUUAGGCCCGGCUACUUGGGCUGAAGCCCCGGAUCUAAAUCGCGGAAGUAACAUGCAGUACCAAAGUCCAACAGAGAGGGAGCAGCUGGCAGUAGUUUGUAUACAGCCUGCCUGAGCCUCCACCACAGAAGAAGAAGCCCUUCAGCAGCUGGCUUCUUCUACACUCUCUGCCUGAAACGCAUGAGUGAAGAUGGACAUAAGGAUGUUUUUUAGACCAAAAGUACAACGACAGAACCCCAGCUUUGAUGAGACUGGUGCUGACUCAGGUUUGUGGGUCUUAUUUGAAAAUAUUUGUUGUGCUGCUGGUUUGCCUAAAGUUAGCUUAUCAGGUAAAGUUGUUGGAGAAAGAAAGGGAAUAUUUACUAUCAUCUCACACUAAACACUAACAGGAACAAUACUCUGCCCUGAAAAUGCUUAAUAUGUAGCUUCAGAUUAAAAAUUAUGUGGUACAAGACAUAUAUGAUGUUGACUAGUGCGUGUCACGUGUGUGUGUGCGCGCGCACGUGUGUGUGUGUGUUAAGCUCCGGAUCUUCUUCAGUCCUAAAUCCACCCCUGCAGCUACUGCUGCGGGACUAAAUGUCACAAGCAGCUUUAAAAUGUUUGAGGAACCUCUUUAAAUUCCCCCAGAAGAAUUAAGGACAAGCAGAAACAAAACUUGAAAGUUAAAGAAGAUGGUGCAACAAAAACAAAAUCAUGUCAGCUGCUUCCUCUGCUCUUCCAAAGGAAUCAUAAAUAGACCAACUUGUGCAGGCUGUGUAGAGGAGCUGCCCUUCCUGCUGGGUUACAUAAAACAUAAUGAAUCCAGCAUCCAGAGAAGAGGGAGGCUCAUUAUGAAGGCACAGUGUCUCAGAUUCAAUUAGACCACCAGCUACAUGGUAACUUCAUGUGUCAUCACACUUUUAACACCAGAAUGUUUCCAAGGCUCAAAGGACUGCGGCUCUGAGGCACCAUCUAGUGGUAGACUGUGGUACUGCGUAUGAAACAACAGCAGCGAUAACAUAAAUCCUGAUUUCGUCUUCAGAAUCACUUUUGUCGAAGCUUAAAGUGACUUUUUUGUUCUUUGUCUCCCAGAACCUGCAGCUUUCUCUGAGAAUCAUUUCUCAUGCAUGGUGGCGCAGCGCUUAGCACUGUUGCCUCGCAGCACGAAGGCUGUAGGUUCAAAACUCGGCCGCGGCCUUUCUGCGUGGAGUUGCGUGUUCUCCCCAUGCAUGCGUGGGUUUCCUCCGGGUACUUCGGUUUCCCCCACAGAUCACAACAUGCCCUAUAGGUUAUAAAUUGUGAGUCGCUUUGGAUAAAAGCUUCUGCCAAAUACAAAUAAACAUAAACAUUUCUUUUUCUGUCCCUCUCACCCAUGUUGUCUGCAGUUGUUCAGAGCGAUCAGACCCUAAUGAGCACUAAUAGCUCCAAACUUUACUUCACAGGCUGCUCCAGAAUAAAACUGGCAGUGUUAGCUGUGUGCAUGAGCAGGUAGCAGGAGAAACGACUGGACUUGUCAGAGACUUGUGACCCUAACUACUGCUGGUUCAGUAAACAAACACAGCUCACAUAGAGCCUUUGAUAAUGCUGGAUCUAAUUGUAAUUACUAGAUUCCAUCUUUAAUGCUAAUCAUGUUGACGGUCUUUAUUUUCAGAGCUGAUCUGGUUUCUGCAGAUCCUCUAAAGGCCCUUCACAGUGGGGCCCUG
Non-coding RNA from Nothobranchius furzeri (turquoise killifish), 7745 nucleotides. Lineage: Eukaryota; Metazoa; Chordata; Actinopteri; Cyprinodontiformes; Nothobranchiidae. The record is from RefSeq and is a predicted model, not a curated record.